RNAcentral lists this ribosomal RNA (195 nucleotides) under uncultured bacterium. Its description in RNAcentral is "partial 16S ribosomal RNA". It matches the Rfam family "Bacterial small subunit ribosomal RNA", at positions 338 to 524 of the family's 1533-position model. The record is from RNAcentral.
CCUACGGGAGGCAGCAGUGGGGAAUUUUGGGCAAUGGGCGCAAGCCUGACCCAGCGACGCCGCGUGGAGGAUGAAGGCCUUCGGGUUGUAAACUCCUGUCAGGUGGGAAGAAACGUCAUCGCGCGAACAGCUCGGUGACCUGACGGUACCACAAGAGGAAGCUCCGGCUAACUCCGUGCCAGCAGCCGCGGUAAU